AAAUCCUUACUUCUUUAAACAAAAUUUAAAUGCUAAAAAUAUUUUCUGAAAGAGUAUUCAUAAAACGUGAAGAGAAAUAAAGUCUAUCUGAAUUGCUUUUAAAAAUGUUACACUAUCAUAAAACCACCCUAAAAACAAAAAAUUACAUACAAAAGCAAAACAGAAAAAACUAAAAUUUAUCUUAAUUCUCGAAAGAGCAUUUCAGUUUUCUAAUUAUCAUUUUUUUUGAGAAAAAAGAAUAUCUAAUAAGAACCUUCUUAAAUGCUAGGUUAUAGUUAAAAGAUUGAUUAAAACAAUUGCAUUUUUUUUAAAAAAAAGACAAGCAAGUUAGAUCGAAACCAAAACAAUAUCAUUCUUAAUUUUCUUUAAAAAAAUAUCUAACACUGAAAAUCUUAAUCUAGUUUUUUCACAUUGCCAUAUUUUUAUAAAGUGUGAUGAUAAAGGAAUAAAGUUUCUUAAUGCCCUUUAAAAACUGCUGUGUUAUCAUAAAAAUGUUGCUAAAAGGAAAAGUUUUAAAAAAAAGCCAAAGAGAAACAGAAAAAAACAAACUAAAGUUAUUUUAUUUCUUACAGCGCACAUUCAAUGUUUAUGUUGCUGGUUAUCUAUAUUAAUGCACUGGAAAAAGUGAUAAUAAAAGAAUAAUGUCUAUCAGAAACACAACUUUAAAAUGUUACAUUCUUAUAAAAACAGAAAAAAGUAGAAAUGAAAGAAAACUUUCUUAAAUCUUAGAAGAAAAAGUGUUGAAGAAAUGAUGAAAUUGAUUUGCCUGAAUAAAAGAUUUUAAAAAUCAGUGGUAAAUAACUUGUGUUUCAACAUAAAGUAAUGUAGUUUUAAUUCUUCCCAUUUCGCUUUUCCAUUUGUCAUGAACAUAAAUUUGCAAGCCGUGUGCAAGUCUUAGAACUUAACAUGAACUGGAACUAUUUAUAAUAAUGUAUAAUUAAAAAUACCAUUUUAGAUUAUUCUUUAUUACUGGGCAUAAUCUGAAAUUUGCUUGUUGUAAUAAGAUUAUAAAAAAUAACAGGCUAAAUAACCAAAUUAGCAGUGUUUAAAUCGGUAACAACACUUACUUAAAAAUCAUAUUUUUACAUUAGGGAAAACUUGUUUUUAAAACAGAUUCACUGGGUUGGAGUUCCAAUUGUUUCAACUUUUAAAUUUAUUCUGUUACACCCAAUUGGUAGACUUUGUGAAUAAACACAGUUAAAAUUGUUAGAGGCUAUUUCCAUUUUUCAAAAUUUCCCAAUAUUUUUAACACUCAUUAAAUGGUGUUUUACUGUUAAUAUCCAUAGUUAUCUAGAUUUUCAUUUGUUAUUUUUCAGAGAUUAUUUUUUUAAACAUUCAAAAUUUCAUUUUUUUAAAAAGUUGUUAAAAAUUAUUUUGACUGUAGAAUUCUUAAGAUUUAGUUUCAUAACAUUUCAAUUAAAGAUACAUUUCAAAUAAAUUAUUUACAGUUAAAAUUGAUUUUUUCCUCCCACAGAGACUGUCUGUAGCUGAAAAACAGCCAUAUGAAAAACUUGCAGAGAAACAUAAAAAUGAUCCUUGCCUCCGUGGUGGCAAAUUAGCUUCUGAUGGAACUCGAGUAGAAGAUAAUCUGCGAGAAGCUAUGGAAAAAGAACAACAUAAGAAUAGGUUAAGACAAGCUGUCAAAAACUAUGUGAAUCCUGCCUGCAUGGAUUUA
This is a non-coding RNA of Parasteatoda tepidariorum (common house spider), 1675 nucleotides long. NCBI's taxonomy places the organism in Eukaryota, Metazoa, Arthropoda, Arachnida, Araneae, Theridiidae. The record is from RefSeq and is a predicted model, not a curated record.